GCGUACGAAGUCGCGGGCAGAAGCUAGUUACUUAAAAUAAAAUAGGUACUAUACCUACUAGUUGUGUCCCGCAGCCUUAACCCUAGAUAGAUAACCUACGUCGAAACGACGUAAUCGAUUUUGAAAAAUCGUUAUAACUCAUUUGUUUUUCGCGUUAUUAUCCUGCCCGUUCCUGUCAACUCAGUCGGCCGUCGGAGCUUGUAGGACAUACCCAUAUCGCCCCGGCCACGAUAAAAAUUACAUUAUGACGUCACGAUACCGUGCAGACGAUGCAGCAACCUGUCGGUUGUUGCGUGAAACAAGCGAUGAAGAGAUUGAGGUGUCGGACAGUGAAACUGAUGACUGUUUAUUAGAAGAUGAAGUACAAAGUGAUGCAGAAGACUUUGAAGACAGUGCACCAGUGAAGGGAAACACUGAUGCUGAAGACAUGUUUGGAAAUAACCCCGAAAUUUCUGAAAGUGCUUCGCUAACUAUGCCGAGUUGUAUUGUCAUGCCAUAGCGUCAAAUUCUCAGUGGCAAAAGCGAUCAUCCUUGGACGGCGAGUAAGACAGAACACGUGGCAGAGUAUCUGCUGCUGAUAAUAUGAUUUGUAAGAAAGAAAAACCGCUGGGUCGUAAAGAUUUUAUGAAGAAACUCAGCGGUAGCCUGAUGACCACAUGGAUGUAGACAAGGCGUAAAAUGGUCACUUUGCCGAUAAAUAUCAAAGAAAUAAAUAGUAGUAUACUGCCAAAAAGACCAGCCAAACCUCCCACACAACAUGAAAGUGUACCUGAGCUAAAAAAAAGGAAAUAUUGUGCCUUUUGUUCUUCAAAAAUUAGAAGGAUGACAAAGACAAUGUCCGACAGCUGCAAAAAUCUCAUUUGUGGAGAGCUCAAGUCUAGCGCUUGCCCUAAGUGCCUUGCAUGCUAAAAUGAAUUAAAAUUGUGAUUUACUUUAAUUUGUUAUAUACUAGAGAUUAAAAAAAAAUGAUUUUUAAAAGUUUACACAAUAAAUUAUAAGGAUGAUGGAAAGAUUGCUAAACGUUUAUGUUUCGAAAAGUAAAAAUUAUCUUGUUUUGUACUUAAUUUUUUUUUCUUAUAAAAAUAUAAAUAAA
This is a long non-coding RNA of Helicoverpa zea (corn earworm), 1093 nucleotides long. RefSeq lists it as uncharacterized. NCBI's taxonomy places the organism in Eukaryota, Metazoa, Arthropoda, Insecta, Lepidoptera, Noctuidae. The record is from RefSeq and is a predicted model, not a curated record. The transcript has 2 exons.